GUCUAACGUCUGGAUCUGUGGUUCCAGGUUUUAGGACAGACCACAGAAACUCUCGCUGAGUUCCCACAGUUUCUUGGAGGUGGCGUCGUCCCUGGCCUUGGGGUCGAUGUUGGUCAGAGGGGAGCACUGGUCGAAGUAGUGCCCGCUGAGGUGUUCGAUGCCUGGCUCCAGGGCACAGUACAGGGUGGUCUGAGCUCCAGCUUCAGCAUCCUUAAAGAAGAGGAAUUCCACAGGCUUGAUGAGGAGCGUCCACCAGAAGCUAGAGUCUCGAAAUAUCUCCGUCAUUAUGGCUCCUGGAGAGAAAAGAGGAAAUGUUUAACUGACAGAAUAUUUACUGUGUCUCUUUGUAGUCAGUUUUAUCAUUUUCACCAGCCUCUAUACCCCUUGUGAUGCCGGUGUCUCCCACCACUGUCCACCAUGUCAAUCUUCCGAUUCAACUUCUGCAUACAAGCUGCUGGUUUCCCUUGCCUCCAUCCCCCGACAUCAACAAUCUUUUUUUCAAACUUCUGGCACCGGGAUGCCUGUUAGGAUUCUGCCCCAGUUGCUGCCUUUUUGUCCCUUUCCCAUUUUUUCCUCCGUUGUUGUCUUGUUUCUCUGGCUCCCCCUGUCUGCUGCACCCUGCCUACUGUUGCCGUCAGCUGAUGCAAUUAAGCCCAAUUCCAUUCACCUGGUCCCCUCCUCUGCUAUUUAAGCCCUGCCCUUUCCCUCAGUCUUUGCUGGCUCAUUGUUGGACACACACACAGUUUCAGACUCCGCUCCCCCGCUUUCCCUUCUCUGGAUUACAUCAGUUUUUGGACUUCUCUGCUUUUCUCCCCUUUGUGGAUUCAACCCUUUUUUUGGACCCUAUAGUUUUGUUGGACUUCAGUUUGUUUUCGUCUUAGCCAUUUGCUCUCCCGUAUGUGAGUAUCUUUUUGUAGCCCUGCCGUUUACCACUGUGUAGUUUCCUUUUAGUCACUUCAGUCCUGUUUUCUGUUUUUGUAGUAAUUUUGAUUUCGCUUAAUAAAUCCUUUUAAUUAUG
Long non-coding RNA from Acanthochromis polyacanthus (spiny chromis), 1018 nucleotides. RefSeq lists it as uncharacterized. The transcript is spliced from 2 exons. The record is from RefSeq and is a predicted model, not a curated record. NCBI's taxonomy places the organism in Eukaryota, Metazoa, Chordata, Actinopteri, Pomacentridae.